AUUGAACGCUGGCGGCAGGCCUAACACAUGCAAGUCGAGCGGAGCGGCGGACGGGUGAGUAAUGCCUAGGAAUCUGCCUGGUCGUGGGGGAUAACGACCGGUACCGGGCGCUAAUACCGCAUACUAUCAGAAGAGCCUAGGUCGGAUUAGCUUGUUGGUGGGGUAACGGCCUACCAAGGCGACGAUCCGUAACUGGUCUGAGAGGAUGAUCAGGCACAUUUGAACUGAGACACGGUCCAGACUCCUACGGGAGGCAGCAGUGGGGAAUAUUGGACAAUGGGCGAAAGCCUGAUCCAGCCAUGCCGCGUGUGUGAAGAAGGUCUUCGGAUUGUAAAGUACUUUAAGUUGGGAGGCGUUACCUACAGAAUAAGCACCGGCUAACUUCGUGCCAGCAGCCGCGGUAAUAC
RNAcentral lists this ribosomal RNA (407 nucleotides) under uncultured bacterium. RNAcentral describes it as "partial 16S ribosomal RNA". It matches the Rfam family "Bacterial small subunit ribosomal RNA", at positions 30 to 526 of the family's 1533-position model. The record is from RNAcentral.